AUAUGAUAGGGCAAACAAUGAUGAAAACUAACCAUCCAAGGAUUUGGUGGCAAUUUGUUGGUGGUGAAUUUUUUGUGCUUCGAAAAGUUGCUUGUAGAAUCUUGAUCCAAUCUUGUAGUUCCUCUCCUUGUGAGCGUAAUUGGAGUGCUUGGGAUACAACACAAACAAAGAAAAGAAUUAGAUUGGCCCCAGAAAUGUUAGAAGAUUUGGUGUACAUCAAGACGAACUCUAUGAUGAGGGAGAAGUAUGAAAAGCAAGUACUUCAAGAUGCGAGGCCCAUUGAUUUAGCAAAACUUGGUGAUAUACCUGAGAUAGACAUUGAGCCGGAUAUGGAGAUACUUGAACAAACAUAUGAAGAACCUG
Long non-coding RNA from Telopea speciosissima, 363 nucleotides. RefSeq lists it as uncharacterized. The record is from RefSeq and is a predicted model, not a curated record. The transcript has 3 exons. Lineage: Eukaryota; Viridiplantae; Streptophyta; Magnoliopsida; Proteales; Proteaceae.